UAUUGCUUACGGUGGCAUUCGUUCUGUUGCCCUCACUUCCACUGGCCAGAUUUUUGCAUUGGGCCAUGGUGGUUUCGGUGCAUUGGGGCAUGUAUCAUAGAGAACUGUUCCCUAGACUAGUGGAAGGUUCUUGGGAUGG
This is a long non-coding RNA of Populus euphratica (Euphrates poplar), 139 nucleotides long. RefSeq lists it as uncharacterized. The record is from RefSeq and is a predicted model, not a curated record. The transcript has 2 exons. Lineage: Eukaryota; Viridiplantae; Streptophyta; Magnoliopsida; Malpighiales; Salicaceae.